UGGGGAAUAUUGGACAAUGGGCGGAAGCCUGAUCCAGCCAUGCCGCGUGUGUGAAGAAGGCCUUUUGGUUGUAAAGCACUUUAAGCGAGGAGGAGGCUACUUGGAUUAAUACUCUAGGAUAGUGGACGUUACUCGCAGAAUAAGCACCGGCUAACUCUGUGCCAGCAGCCGCGGUAAUACAGAGGGUGCGAGCGUUAAUCGGAUUUACUGGGCGUAAAGCGUGCGUAGGCGGGUUUUUAAGUCGGAUGUGGAAUCCCUGCGCUUUACUUAAGAAAUGGCAUCGAUAGUGGGCAGCUAGGAGAUGGGGGAGGAAGGGUAGAUUGCAAGUGGAGGGGUGGAAUUCGUAGGGGUGUUGAAGGAUACCGAUGGCGGAGGCAAGCAUCUGGGCUUAUACUGACGCUGAGGUACGAAAGCAUAGGGAGCAAACGGG
Molecule: ribosomal RNA, 430 nt
Filed under: bacterium
Lineage: Bacteria
Description: partial 16S ribosomal RNA
Rfam family: Bacterial small subunit ribosomal RNA
Source: RNAcentral